Seriola aureovittata is the source of this 1497-nucleotide long non-coding RNA. RefSeq lists it as uncharacterized. The transcript is spliced from 3 exons. The record is from RefSeq and is a predicted model, not a curated record. NCBI's taxonomy places the organism in Eukaryota, Metazoa, Chordata, Actinopteri, Carangiformes, Carangidae.
UAUAUUUUCCCAUAAUGCUUAUGUUUUUAUUCCUGUUGUGUUGGGGUGCACUGGGUAGCAUUUUGGGCACAUUUGUGAGUGAUAAUUGAGAUUUUGAACUGGUCAAAGCAGGAAAAUCACAACAUUAACAAUGGUUUCAUCCCAUUAAGUGUGCCAGGAAGCCAUGUCGGUGAAUGAGCAUGCACAAUACCAGAGCCCUGGAACCAGCUCACCUAAAUGGACUGCCGCCAUCACCUGAGCUUCAACAAGUCAAAAUGUCUGCCCUGGAGAGGGCCUGUUCAUGACAGAGAAGCCACCAAAAUUGAGUUAGCUGACUGAAAAGGCUGUUUUUCUUCCUGACCCAGAAGUGUAAACAAGCAGAGAAGUGAGUUGUUGUAGCACCGGAGUACACGGUCGAGGCAGAGGCGAGUGCUGCAGGGGACUUAAAUACGCCAUGUUUAAACAGAGCUACAUCAGUGUCAAUGAAGACACCUUCGGCAGAGGACCUCGCUCAGGUGCGGUCUGUCAGCCGCCGACUGUCCGUUUCCACCCGCUGCCCUUUCUGCUUCUCUGGGGCGAGCUUUGGGACCACCAAACCAAACCAAGUGUGUUUACAUCCAGUCUAUGUUCACAUAGGUAAACGGUGCUCUGUUAUGAGCCAAGACUGGGCAGGAAUAACUUUGUGUAAUGGCAGGAAUGCUGCUGCUGCUGCUCGAUGCCCGGAUAUCAGUAGACCCAGCCAUCCUUAAAAGUAUACAGGCUGUCCAUGCCUCUAAUUCCUGCUAAGACAUUGCCUUUUCAACUUGUAAAUAACAACAAGCCGUGCUUUACAAACUGAAGGACCAGUGAAGCCAGCUGCUUAACUGGAGGCCCAGCUGACCUGAGAGAGAAACAUUAUCUGCACUAAUGACUGGAAGGCUGUUAUCUGGAGAUGAGUUCAACGCCUACACUUGCUGGCCUCAGCCCUCAGCAGUCUCUAUGGAGCCUCCUACUCAUGUGGCUGGACUCUGGAUAAGCUGCUCGGAGCAGAGCGGCGCUGCUAUAGAGGAGAUUAUACUUGUCUGCUGGAGAGUACCUACCACCUCUUACCCAUCCCCUCCAAAUAUGUGAAGGGAGACGAGGGAGGGGAAGGUUCAGCAUCGAUUAAACACCCAGAACAAAAAUUGGCAGACAGACAACAAAAAUGAGCACGAGGGACGGAGAAGAAAGAAGGAGUGCAGGGGAGAAAAUGGGUGUCUACCAAAAGUGAAAUAGUGGAGCAAGAGGGGGAAGAACUUGAGAAGAGGGUGUGAGAGUGAGAGAGAGAGAGAAGCGGUGAUGAGAGAGCGCAUUAGUACAAAAAAGAGAGGAAGAGCGAGGAAGAGUGAGGAGUGAAAGAGUCACAGAACAAAAGCAGGAAGACAGAAAAUGGAGAGAGAGAGCUGAGAAAAAGUGGAGAUGGAGGGAAGAGAGCAACAGAUGAAGGGGAAAGUGCUGGAGUGCCCCCCACAGGCCUGCUGACGCACCACCAUGGCAACA